Molecule: ribosomal RNA, 253 nt
Filed under: uncultured bacterium
Lineage: Bacteria
Description: partial 16S ribosomal RNA
Rfam family: Bacterial small subunit ribosomal RNA
Source: RNAcentral
UACGUAGGGUGCGAGCGUUAAUCGGAAUUACUGGGCGUAAAGCGUGCGCAGGCGGUUUUGUAAGCCAGAUGUGAAAUCCCCGGGCUCAACCUGGGAAUGGCAUUUGGGACUGCAAGGCUGGAGUUUGGCAGAGGAGACUGGAAUUCCUGGUGUAGCAGUGAAAUGCGUAGAUAUCAGGAGGAACACCGGUGGCGAAGGCGCUGCUCUGGGCCGAAACUGACGCUGAGGAGCGAAAGCGUGGGUAGCAAACAGG